RNAcentral lists this ribosomal RNA (231 nucleotides) under uncultured bacterium. RNAcentral describes it as "partial 16S ribosomal RNA". It matches the Rfam family "Bacterial small subunit ribosomal RNA", at positions 546 to 776 of the family's 1533-position model. The record is from RNAcentral.
CGGAAUUACUGGGCGUAAAGCGCGUGUAGGCGGUUUUCCAAGACGGGGGUGAAAGCCUUGAGCUCAACUCAAGAAAUGCACUCGAUACUGGGUGACUUGAGGACCGGAGAGGAUAGUGGAAUUCCCAGUGUAGUGGUGAAAUACGUAGAGAUUGGGAAGAACACCAGUGGCGAAGGCGGCUAUCUGGACGGUUUCUGACGCUAAGACGCGAAAGCGUGGGGAGCAAACAGG